RNAcentral lists this ribosomal RNA (256 nucleotides) under uncultured bacterium. RNAcentral describes it as "partial 16S ribosomal RNA". It matches the Rfam family "Bacterial small subunit ribosomal RNA", at positions 524 to 776 of the family's 1533-position model. The record is from RNAcentral.
UACGUAGGGGUGCGAGCGUUGUCCGGAAUUCAUUGGGCGUAAAGGGCUCGUAGGCGGUUUGUCGCGUCGGGAGUGAAAUCCACUGGCUUAACUGGUGGCUUGCUUUCGAUACGGGCAGACUGGAGGUAUGCAGGGGAGAACGGAAUUCCUGGUGUAGCGGUGAAAUGCGCAGAUAUCAGGAGGAACACCGGUGGCGAAGGCGGUUCUCUGGGCAUGUCCUGACGCUGGAGGAGCGAAAGCAUGGGGAGCGAACAGG